CUUAAAAGAAAAAAAAGACAGUCAACACAAUCCAACCGACAACUCUAAUCCUUUGGUGAAACAUCGUCUCUUUCUCUCUCUCAAAACCGUAACUUCUCCUCCUACAAUCGAUCGAAUCCAAUGACCAAUAGUAAUCUUCCUUAAAGAAUCAUCAAAGGUACGUUUUCCGAUCCUCUGUACAAUCCUCCGAAUCCUCUCUCUCUAGAUUAACAGCUGGAGCAUGACCAGAGAUUGGCAGAUCGCCCAACCUUGAACCAGAUAUUGGAAAAAUUUUAAAUAGUUGGAACCCGGAUUUGGUGAAAAUGUUAAGAGAGUAAAAGUAUAACAGGACGAAAAUGAAGCUUCAAAUGUUAUGGCUCGCUUUGGUAUUGAUCGCCAUCGAAGCUUACGCAGCUAGGGAAAGAAUACAACAAUAAUCCCAGCACUUAUAUUGUUUGGAGAUUCAAUAAUGGAUACAGGAAAUAACCAUAAUCUUCCAACUCUCUAAAGUGUAACUUCCCUCCAUAUGGCAAAGAUUUUCCUUGAGGCUCCGCCAGUGGAAGGUUUUCUGAUGGAAGAGUUCCUUCUGAUCUUAAUUAUUGAAUCUCAGAUAGGACUUUCCGGUGAUGACGUUCAUUGACGGUGAUGGAAUCGUCGCCGUGGGUACUUCAUGGUGGUGUUUUGACGUUAGAGAUCGUGGUCUUACCAAAAAACACACAUGGAUUUUCCUUUGUAAUAAUAAUAGUAAUUCUUAAUAGAAAACGUUUGGUCCCAAAUUUGAUUAAUACCAACAAGAGAGUUGGUUAGAAGGAGGAAACGUAAAACACGUUGUAACAAACCUUUUGUCCCUUCCAAUGAA
Non-coding RNA from Camelina sativa (false flax), 838 nucleotides. The record is from RefSeq and is a predicted model, not a curated record. NCBI's taxonomy places the organism in Eukaryota, Viridiplantae, Streptophyta, Magnoliopsida, Brassicales, Brassicaceae.